UCAAUGCACCGCAUCUUUCUAAUGCAAGUCGAGCGGACAGAAGGGAGCUUGCUCCCGGAUGUUAGCGGCGGACGGGUGAGUAACACGUGGGUAACCUGCCUGUAAGACUGGGAUAACUCCGGGAAACCGGAGCUAAUACCGGAUAGUUCCUUGAACCGCAUGGUUCAAGGAUGAAAGACGGUUUCGGCUGUCACUUACAGAUGGACCCGCGGCGCAUUAGCUAGUUGGUGGGGUAAUGGCUCACCAAGGCGACGAUGCGUAGCCGACCUGAGAGGGUGAUCGGCCACACUGGGACUGAGACACGGCCCAGACUCCUACGGGAGGCAGCAGUAGGGAAUCUUCCGCAAUGGACGAAAGUCUGACGGAGCAACGCCGCGUGAGUGAUGAAGGUUUUCGGAUCGUAAAGCUCUGUUGUUAGGGAAGAACAAGUGCGAGAGUAACUGCUCGCACCUUGACGGUACCUAACCAGAAAGCCACGGCUAACUACGUGCCAGCAGCCGCGGUAAUACGUAGGUGGCAAGCGUUGUCCGGAAUUAUUGGGCGUAAAGGGCUCGCAGGCGGUUUCUUAAGUCUGAUGUGAAAGCCCCCGGCUCAACCGGGGAGGGUCAUUGGAAACUGGGAAACUUGAGUGCAGAAGAGGAGAGUGGAAUUCCACGUGUAGCGGUGAAAUGCGUAGAGAUGUGGAGGAACACCAGUGGCGAAGGCGACUCUCUGGUCUGUAACUGACGCUGAGGAGCGAAAGCGUGGGGAGCGAACAGGAUUAGAUACCCUGGUAGUCCACGCCGUAAACGAUGAGUGCUAAGUGUUAAGGGGGUUUCCGCCCCUUAGUGCUGCAGCUAACGCAUUAAGCACUCCGCCUGGGGAGUACGGUCGCAAGACUGAAACUCAAAGGAAUUGACGGGGGCCCGCACAAGCGGUGGAGCAUGUGGUUUAAUUCGAAGCAACGCGAAGAACCUUACCAGGUCUUGACAUCCUCUGACAACCCUAGAGAUAGGGCUUUCCCUUCGGGGACAGAGUGACAGGUGGUGCAUGGUUGUCGUCAGCUCGUG
RNAcentral lists this ribosomal RNA (1049 nucleotides) under Bacillus sp. (in: firmicutes). Its description in RNAcentral is "bacterial SSU rRNA". It matches the Rfam family "Bacterial small subunit ribosomal RNA", at positions 37 to 1064 of the family's 1533-position model. The record is from RNAcentral. Lineage: Bacteria; Bacillati; Bacillota; Bacilli; Caryophanales; Bacillaceae.